Molecule: ribosomal RNA, 450 nt
Filed under: uncultured bacterium
Lineage: Bacteria
Description: partial 16S ribosomal RNA
Rfam family: Bacterial small subunit ribosomal RNA
Source: RNAcentral
GUGAGGAAUAUUGGGCAAUGGGCGAAAGCCUGACCCAGCCACGCCGCGUGAGUGAUGAAGGCCUUCGGGUUGUAAAGCUCUGUGGGGAGGGAAGAAAAAGCGGGAGAGUAACUGCUCUCGUGUUGACGGUACCUCCUUAGCAAGCACCGGCUAACUCUGUGCCAGCAGCCGCGGUAAUACAGAGGGUGCAAACGUUGCUCGGAAUUAUUGGGCUUAAAGCGCGUGUAGGCUGACAUGCAAGUCGGGUGUGAAAUCCCAGGGCUCAACCUUGGAACUGCACUCGAAACUGCACGUCUUGAGUACUGGAGAGGGAAGCGGAAUUCCGGGUGUAGAGGUGAAAUUCGUAGAUAUCCUGAGGAACACCAGUGGCGAAGGCGGCUUCCUGGACAGUAACUGACGCUGAGACGCGAAAGCGUGGGGAGCAAACAGGAUUAGAAGCCCGGGUAGUCC